Molecule: ribosomal RNA, 495 nt
Filed under: uncultured bacterium
Lineage: Bacteria
Description: partial 16S ribosomal RNA
Rfam family: Bacterial small subunit ribosomal RNA
Source: RNAcentral
UGAACGCUGGCGGCGUGCCUAAAACAUGCAAGUCGAGCGAACGGACGAGAAGCUUGCUUUUCUGAUGUUAGCGGCGGACGGGUGAGUAACACGUGGAUAACCUACCUAUAAGACUGGGAUAACUUCGGGAAACCGGAGCUAAUACCGGAUAAUAUUUUGAACCGCAUGGUUCAAAAGUGAAAGACGGUCUUGCUGUCACUUAUAGAUGGAUCCGCGCUGCAUUAGCUAGUUGGUAAGGUAACGGCUUACCAAGGCAACGAUGCAUAGCCGACCUGAGAGGGUGAUCGGCCACCCGGGAACUGAGACACGGUCCAGACUCCUAAGGGAGGCAGCAGUAGGGAAUCUUCCGCAAUGGGCGAAAGCCUGACGGAGCAGCGCCGCGUGAGUGAUGAAGGUCUUCGGAUCGUAAAACUCUGUUAUUAGGGAAGAACAUAUGUGUAAGUAACUGUGCACAUCUUGACGGUACCUAAUCAGAAAGCCACGGCUAACUACGUG